Molecule: ribosomal RNA, 440 nt
Filed under: uncultured bacterium
Lineage: Bacteria
Description: partial 16S ribosomal RNA
Rfam family: Bacterial small subunit ribosomal RNA
Source: RNAcentral
CCUACGGGAGGCAGCAGUGGGGAAUAUUGCACAAUGGGGGAAACCCUGAUGCAGCGACGCCGCGUGAGUGAAGAAGUAUUUCGGUAUGUAAAGCUCUAUCAGCAGGGAAGAAAAUGACGGUACCUGAUGAAGAAGCCCCGGCUAACUACGGGCCAGCAGCCGCGGGAAUACGUAGGGGGCAAGCGUUAUCCGGAUUUACUGGGUGUAAAGGGGGCGUAGACGGGGAUGCAAGCCAGGAGUGAAAGGCCGGGGCUCAACCCCGGGACUGCUUUUGAAACUGGGUGGCUGGAGUGCAGGAGGGGUAAGUGGAAUUCCUGGUGUAGCGGUGAAAUGCGUAGAUAUCAGGAGGAACACCGGUGGCGAAGGCGGCUUACUGGACUGUAACUGACGUUGAGGCUCGAAAGCGUGGGGAGCAAACAGGAUUAGAUACCCGUGUAGUC